AUGAAGGCUUCAUCUGUGUCUCUGCUGCUCGUGACUUCUGACCUUCAGUGACCCCUGACCUUCAGUGACCCCUGACCUUCAGUGACCCCUGUCUUCCUGUUGCAGGUGUGUCUGUGCUGCUGCUGUCUGGACUGACUGAUUCUGCAGUCUCUCUGGAUGUCCGUCCAAACCGUCCUCAGUUCUUCACAGAAGAGUCGGUCUCUCUGAGUUGUGUUGAAGAUGGACAAACAGUUGAUGGAUGGACGGUGAAGAGGAGAGCAGGGGGACACAAUGAGAACUUUGGGAGGUUUGAUGGUUCCUCCUGUAUCGUCUCAAAUCUCUCCCAAUCAGACACUGGAGUUUACUGGUGUGAAACCAGUUCUGGACAGACGAGUGACCAGAUCAACAUCACUGUGACUCAUACAAA
Molecule: long non-coding RNA, 406 nt
Organism: Micropterus salmoides (largemouth bass)
Lineage: Eukaryota; Metazoa; Chordata; Actinopteri; Centrarchiformes; Centrarchidae
Exons: 3
Source: RefSeq, a predicted model, not a curated record